This 390-nucleotide ribosomal RNA is filed under the name uncultured organism. Its description in RNAcentral is "bacterial SSU rRNA". It matches the Rfam family "Bacterial small subunit ribosomal RNA", at positions 45 to 433 of the family's 1533-position model. The record is from RNAcentral.
UGCUUAACACAUGCAAGUCGAACGGUCACAGGUCUAGCUUGCUAGAUGCUGACGAGUGGCGGACGGGUGAGUAACGUGCAGGAAUAUGCCUUAUAGUGGGGGAUAACCUAGGGAAACUUAGGAUAAUACCGCAUGAAACCUACGGGUUAAAGCAGGGGAUCGUAAGACCUUGCGCUAUGAGAUUAGCCUGCGUCUGAUUAGCUAGUUGGUGGGGUAAAGGCCUACCAAGGCGAUGAUCGGUAACUGGUCUGAGAGGACGACCAGCCACACUGGGACUGAGACACGGCCCAGACUCCUACGGGAGGCAGCAGUGGGGAAUAUUGGACAAUGGGCGCAAGCCUGAUCCAGCAAUGCCGCGUGUGUGAAGAAGGCCCUAGGGUCGUAAAGCAC